Molecule: long non-coding RNA, 6988 nt
Organism: Dromaius novaehollandiae (emu)
Lineage: Eukaryota; Metazoa; Chordata; Aves; Casuariiformes; Dromaiidae
Exons: 3
Source: RefSeq, a predicted model, not a curated record
UUGUGCAAAUGUGGUGGAGAUUUUAUAGCUAUUCUCCUUUUUAGAGUCCUCUAGAUUACCUAGGCAGGUUUGAGCCUUUCCCUUAAAGCCUAUUCCGGCUUUUUAAGGAGACAUCCUGGCCCCUUCUAAUUAAAAUAAGCAGCGUGUCACUUCCUGAGAGCUGCAGGAGGUACUUUGCUAGACCAAGUGCCAUCUUUUGUAGUCUAUCAGCUCUUUCCCUCGUUGACCCCGUAGACACAAGGGCUACCUCCUCUGCCCGGUCUUCCUAACGCGUAAGUCAGCUGGAGGCUCAGCCUGGUUGCUUGGAGACCAGUGUGCAGGGGAGUCGCCCUGGAGCUUGUGGGCACCUCUCUGAAGCACACCUGCCAAAACGCGGUCUCAGGUGCCUCUGAGAUAAGAACCUGGUGCUUGUCGGGACUUAAGGAGGUGUUACGGUGCCAGUAGGAGAUGGAUGAACACAUCUAGGGGGAACCGGGCCUGGUUUUGGUACCUGUUGUCCGUUGGACCAGAGGUGCUGCACGUGUUCCCAGGACCCGGCGUGACACAGAAGAGGCCUGCCAUGUCCCUCACCACACACGGAGCUGGCUGGCCGGAGGAACGUGCCCAAGGGGAGGCAGGACUGUUUCCUCCACACGUAAACGCACGGGUUCUUGCCAAGGACCGGGAGGUACGUGCUGCCUGGAGCUGCCGCGUCCUUGCGCUGUGCUGUGGGCAGCGGUGCUAUUCGCAGAGCGGGGACGAGAGCACGGGUUCGCUCUACCAAGUUAGCACUACUGGCGUUCCCCUUCACCACCUCUCCAGCCCUCCUCCAGGGCCACACCUUCUCCUAGACACGCGUUGCUCCCAUUCCCACCGAAAACGUCAACGACACGCACGUAGCACUGUCGUUUUCCCCUGCCACGCUGCUACCUUCCCGUGGCGGGUGGCUGAGGCGCUUCCUGAAGACCCGGGCAGGUUGCGGUAGCACGCAAUACCGGCCAAGUACGGGCUGCCUGCUCCCUUCUGCGUUCAGUGCCAUUCAUCCCGGCCAUGGGAGACAUCCAAAACAUCAAAUCAGUUCUGCUCCUGCCAAAUCGUCACUCUUUCCCAGGUAUUUUGCUACCACCUUGAAAUACCCCGUUCCCUAGGUUGAAGCCACCAGACGCGCUGGUGCAUUGCUUCCCCAGCAGCCUGGUAGUCUGUGAAUCAAGAGCGAGCAGACGCUCUCUUGGUUCACAUUCCCGUUCUAAACAAGCUGUAAAAGAUCAGCCUUACAGACUGCCACUCCGAAACGAACACUGCGAGCCAUCCGAUUCCAGCCAAAGCAUGUCUGGAAUGAACAUCCUUGGGUUGCCAUGGAGAUGCCCAAUGGGUAUCUCCAACUUUUCAGAGACCUGGCAGGAUGCCGGGGCAUCCUAAGCGACAGUGCUUUAGCACUGCUGAAAUACAUCCCCUUUGCUCCAGGAGACAGCAGCCCAAAACGUAGCCAGGAAAGACUUCUCUUUCGGAGAUGGAAUGGUCUCACCUGUGGAGCUGGGCUGUCUGUCUUCGCCAGUCGCUGCUCCCACCUCCACGUGAGCUGUUGAAAAUAGGAGCAAAUUUUAUUAGACUCGAUCCUAGAGCAGCUGACCAAAAACCGUAUUACGCUCUCCUUUCUGCCAUAUGAGCCUGUGCAGCUUCGGGAAGCUGAGCAGUGAAUGGCAUAACGCUGCAGGUCUGGCAAGACGCGCGGCACUUUAUUCCGAGCAGGAGAAAGUUCUGAUGAGGAAAUGAAAAAAGGGAAUAAAGCACAGUCAAGGCCAGCGUGUCGGACGAGGUAUUGGAGCCAGGCCCAAAGGGUUAAAGCAACCUGGAAAGCCUAAGAGGGUCCCUCAGGAUAGCUCUUGAGCAGACUCAAGUAAUGAAUUUUCACUUCUGUGCUUUCAUUAUCAUUGUUCUUAGCUGCAGAUUUACCAUUUGUCCCCCUCAGCUCUGCGGCACAUUAUUCGUGUCAUUGAGACAGUUGCAAGGACAGUGCUUUCGUUCGGCUUUUCUGCUACAAGUGUGAUGGGCUCAGUUCCUGAGGGCUCCCGCUAAGCCUGAGCUCCGGGGGGGAGAAUUGUGCACGGGUUGUUACCCCAGCAAUGCUCUCCUGCUCUGCCCGCUCGCUCCUGCUGUCUCCUUUAGAUUGCCUGAAGAAGUCCCAGAUUUACCAUAGCUCCGGAACGGCCACUGUCCUCAGCAAAGCCCGUAAUUUGGCUUUUUCAAAGACGAACUGAGGACUAGCAACCGCCCUCAUUUCCCUGCUAAUCCAGCCAAACAUACAUAUCACGUUUAAAGGCAAGAGAAUGCGUGCUUGGAUUCGCAUUGCUAAAGUCAGUGGGAAGGAGCAUCAUUCACUUCAUCGCAAGCAAGAUUAGUCUUUUAUUUCAGAAAUAGAUUUUGUUAUAUCACGUAAAACACUUUUUGUGGGGUUAAGAGAAGAAUUUAAAAGUGCGUGACAGCACUGUAGGAGAAUGCGAGUGGCAGUGCUUGGCUGUGUCACAGCGUUGCUUCCGAAUCAGAUACUCUUUUUCAUAGUUCGUGCCAUUUAUUAUUUCCCUAGAAAUUACAGAGCUGGGGAGGCAACAUUGGUAAUUCAUAUAUCACACUUGUGUGCUUCACUUGGAGUUUAUGUACCCCUUGAGCGAGGUCAAUGACAGUAAUAUUAGUAUUCCCAAGAAUCCCAGAAAGCUGAAAAGCAGCAGGGGUAAGGCAGUUUCCUCUGUGAACUGAACCUUCCCAGAAUGCCAUACUGGAGGUUUUUAGGCAUCAGUCCCACCUCAUCUACUGAUAAAGCUGAUCCCAGGGUUGACUUACUUAGGUCAUCAGAUUUCCCUUCAUCUUCCUUUCCACAGCUCCAGCACAACCUGUAGGGAUAUCGUGACCGUCAGUUCACAGCAAGAUGCAUUUUACUCUUAGUGAGAGUCCUUUAUUAAUGGAAGUGUUUUGCAAUUGAAAGAUGCCCCAGUGUCCCCAUAUGGGACGAGGUAUUACUCAGAAGUGUUGUGAUUUUUUUUUUCUUCCCACAGGUCUGAGGUGACUAAGAUGCCCAUGUGGAAGUGAGAAGUUCUCUGAAAAAUAGGCAUUUUACUUCUUCCACCCAGUUUAUUUCAAUGUGGCUCUCAUUUCUGAGCAUGAUUUUCUUCUUUUUCAAGAUCUGCUGUGUCCGGCACGGGCGCUCCUGGCUGGGCUCUCCGUAUCGCUGCGGACAGCCCCACCACCCCGGGACUUCCCUGCCGAGCUGCUGGUGGCCACACGUGGUGGCACCUUUCGCCUUCUCCCUGCCCGGUGACGCCGGGGCUGCGCUGGGAGCGGUGCCUUCGGGCCGAGGGCUCGCCUCGCGCUCUGAUCUGGGUCGCUGCCAGCCAUGGGGUGAGUCAAGCGAGGGAAGACCCGCUCCGGCGGCACCGACGGCCGCCGCACGGCCAAGGAGAUGAGGAGCGGGCCCCGUUCGGCUGCGGAAAACCACGGUGCUGGAGAGGGGAGCAGAAAAAGGGGGCGAAGGAGAGAGAAACCAACGGUGAAACGCAAAGGAAAAUGCCGUAUCAAAGGCAGAAACUUGGCAGAAAGGCUGCGCGUCGGCUGCGAGGGGCUCGGCGCGGCGUGGAGCUGUGCAACGCCUGUGUUGGGGAAUUUUUAAUAUUCUGCCUUUGAAUCCUGCUUCGCUCCCUCCUUUCAGCUCACGCGGCCUAGCCUGGCCGUUCCUCGCGGAGCGGAAAGAGAUUUUCCUUGUGAAAAGACUUGGACAAACUUCAGGAACCUGCUUAACGCUCGUUCUGGUGGGAUCGAGCUUUGAGUAAAGAUUAAUUUCGACUGAACUUCAAAAUGUUUCAGGAAUCGGUUUACAACCAAAGGUGAUUGAAAGGCAUUAAUACCGCAAAGCACCACUGAAAAAAUAAAACGGAGCUUAUGCACGUUGAAACCCAAAGUCCAAGAAAGCGAAAUCUGUUUGACUUAAAGGGCGUGCGAGCGAGUGCCUCGGGGGUGGAGGCCGAGGGGCAGAGCCGUGCCGGCGGCUGCGGGAGCCCGGCGGCAGAGCUGCGCCGGGGGCCACAUCGCUGCUGCUGCUGCCGUCGCGGAGCCUCUCCCUGGGCGGCACGCUGAACCCGUUGGCUGAAAUACCUCGUUUCCUCUCCCAACAAAUGCACGGGACAGCUGUGAAGCUAUCAAGGUUAUAUCCCUGUGCACAAUAUACUUUUGCAGAAUAACUUUUGAACUCCUGCAAAUUGAAACUUGCAGCUGCACUCGUGCCCCUGUUUUAUCGUACCGCUGAGGAGCCCCUGCUCCAGCGCACGCCUCGAGCACCGCAGAGCAUCUUUCAGCCCGGGAUGUCUUCUCCUAGCGCAAGUCAGGCACCGUUUAAAACGGUGAAACGUGGUGGCGGGGUCAUCAGGAGAUGCCGUAAGCCAUCGUGCUGCUAGGGUUGGAGCCGGCGUCUACUUGAAAUCUUGACCCCGUAAAGCAAUAGCGACUGCGGUUCACCUUACUGCGCCCCUUCACUGGGCUCUUUCCAAAGGGAUGGGUGUUUUCCCACCACGAGUUACUUAAUGUAUUAAAAAAAAAAGAUGAACUCCGAUUGCCACCUCAGCGGAUGGAGCUGCAGUGCACGGGGCUGGUGACAGCGCGGAGGUGCGCUGUUGCCCAAACUGCUCGCUUUUCGGUAGAAAUUGCCAAGGAAGUCAAUUCCACAGGAAAAGCAAUAUUGGAUAACUCGGGAACGGGCACAAACGAUUAAGCGGUGCUAUAAGUGAUGCAGAUGGGGCCAAUUUUUUCUCCGCACUCAGAUACCCGGGGCAGGCGCUCGGCUGGUAGAGACGCCUCCGCCUGCCUCGAUGCCGAUGAAUCCCCCCGCAUCGGCAACGCUGCGGCGUUGCCCCGGGGAGGGCCGGAUCCUGCUCGCCCAGUGUUGCCGCCUCCGGGCGCCGGGGCAGCCUCUGGGCCGGCAAAGCAAAAGCCGAAGCAGCGCGCGGGGUCUGCUGGCAUGUGCCGCCCGCCGGAGCCCAGCGCGGCCCGAACGCCCGUCCUCCCGCCGCGCUGCAAAUCUAUAGGUGUAUAUAGGGGGCGAGGGGAGGGAAGGGUGCUCCGCAGCCCGUCCGCUUGCCGUUACCUCCUGGCCAGGGCGACGCAGCGGCUCCAGGCGUUGCCCAUGCGGGUGCUGCGCGGCGGGCGGAGGCAGCGGGAGCCAGCGCGCGCCGUCGCCCCGGCACCGAUCUUUGUACCGUGGGCAGCGCCGCCCGCCCGCGCUUGCGAAAGGGAAGGUGGGGUUACCUGGCCGGGGUGGCAGCGACGCGGCUUUUUGUUUCCUCCUGGGCGCGGGGCGGCUGGGGCGAGCGUAGCAGGGAGCAGCGCGGCGGCAUCGGCGCAACGAGCUGUGGCAGGUUCUCAGCCUUCCCCGCCGGGAAGGGAAAGGAAAACCGAAAGCGGCUUCCGCGGGUGGUGGCAGCUGCAGGUCCGCAGGGAGCAGGCACUGCCUCGUGCAGGCUGUGGCCGCGUUUAAAGUGCGCUGGGGCUAUCGGCAGGGCCGGCUUCCCGCAGAUGCCCCGGCAAACACACCGCGCCGCUGGCGGAGGGCUGCGAGGAGCUAUGUGUGCAUUGCUUAGCGCCUUCCUAAGCUUCCCGUGGCUUAUAGCUAAGGAAGCAACAUCUGGAGACCUUUACUGCUCGGCCCGGCUUGCAGCACAGCUGGGAUGGGUUGCACCAGGGCACGGUGCGGUGAAGCCCAGCGUCCUUCUCGCAGGCCCUCAGAAAUGGUCUCCAGGUCCAUCAGGGCUGGGAAACGUCUCGCUCCCUGGGGACACGCGUGGCCCGUUACAGAAAUUGGGAUGAAACUCAUAGGCGUUGGGAGAGAGCAGGCUGCUGCAGCAGCCCCGCGGCAAGGGGCCUCCGGGAAGCAGCUCUGCCCGCUGCUGGAGCAGGGCCGUCCCAGUGCCCCAUGGCAUCGUCUGGGGGGAACCGUGCGUUAUCCAGCUGCUAGAACAGGGGUGAGAGCUCCCCGCUCUUACCGCUCCGUCCUGCUCUGACGUCGCGUUAGUCAGAAAGAGGUCGGCUUUGCACGCGCAGAGCCGCCGAGGCCGGGCCUGGCGGGUUGCCCGGCUUUGGGCUGACGCGCCCGGGCUGGGACGGCCCGUAGGCUGCUGGGGGGCUGCUGGGGGGCUGCGCACCUCCCCUCGCCGCCAGCCGCGCACGCCUGCUCUCAGCCAGGGUACACGCGUGCGGGCCGUGAGCAUCCCGAGGACCAGCUUCCGGACGGGGUCUGCCGAAAAUAAAGCCGGGUGAGCUGAGCUUGCGACGCUGGAAGUCCGUUACAUGCAUUUCUGGAGAAAAGCUUCCUACGUUAUCCUGGAGUCAUCACAGCUCCUCCGCGAAGGCGGUCGGGGUUUCGCGGCGGAGGGUUUGCAACGGCGGCGCUGGCGAAGUUUGGGGGUCACCAGCGCUGUGGUGGGCCCAUCCCGCGCGGGGCUCUUCAGCACCGCGCUGCCUCCCCGCGCCGAGCCCAGCGCUGCCGCUUGCUGACCUCCAGAGGUCGGCGGGAGAAGGCUGCCGGUGGCCCGGACGGACGGAUGGACGGACGGACGGAUGGACGUGGGCCUGACGGACUCAGCCGUCCCUAGGGGAAUCGCCGCUGCAGCCGGAGCACUCACCUCCUUGCUCCGUUCCCCAGCGAGCGCAGCGGUGCCGGUCCUCCCGGGCCGGUGCGGCACGCUCGUGCUCCGUUUUCAGAAUUACCCUGGGGAAAAGUGUCACGUUUUCAGGAAAGCUCAGAGCAGGAUGAGAAUUUUUUUUUUGUUAUAUUUUUUAAUUUCAAAUCUUGCUUGAAAGCGUUUCUCUGCAUUUUACUUUCUUUGCUGCAGAUGCUCUGACUCCACAGAGCCGGCGGAGAUCCGGAGCUGGAGAGUUUCUGCCCCUGUAGUCCUCGGAUUCGUCCAUCUGACAGGAACGAAAGCUGAAGCCUAGUUAGAAGACAAUAAAAAGCGGCCAUCUGUUUUCA